RNAcentral lists this ribosomal RNA (497 nucleotides) under uncultured bacterium. RNAcentral describes it as "partial 16S ribosomal RNA". It matches the Rfam family "Bacterial small subunit ribosomal RNA", at positions 28 to 507 of the family's 1533-position model. The record is from RNAcentral.
GAUGAACGCUGGCGGCGUGCCUAAUACAUGCAAGUCGAGCGAACAGACGAGGAGCUUGCUCCUCUGACGUUAGCGGCGGACGGGUGAGUAACACGUGGAUAACCUACCUAUAAGACUGGGAUAACUUCGGGAAACCGGAGCUAAUACCGGAUAAUAUAUUGAACCGCAUGGUUCAAUAGUGAAAGACGGUUUUGCUGUCACUUAUAGAUGGAUCCGCGCCGCAUUAGCUAGUUGGUAAGGUAACGGCUUACCAAGGCGACGAUGCGUAGCCGACCUGAGAGGGUGAUCGGCCACACUGGAACUGAGACCCGGUCCAGACUCCUACGGGAGGCAGCAGUAGGGAAUCUUCCGCAAUGGGCGAAAGCCUGACGGAGCAACGCCGCGUGAGUGAUGAAGGUCUUCGGAUCGUAAAACUCUGUUAUUAGGGAAGAACAAAUGUGUAAGUACCUAUGCACGUCUUGACGGUACCUAAUCAGAAAGCCACGGCUAACUACGUG